Molecule: unclassified non-coding RNA, 2220 nt
Filed under: Hevea brasiliensis (rubber tree)
Lineage: Eukaryota; Viridiplantae; Streptophyta; Magnoliopsida; Malpighiales; Euphorbiaceae
Source: RNAcentral
AAAAAAAAAAAAAUGGCAGUAUCUAAUUCAAAUUGCAUUACGUUACCAAACAAGUAUUAUAAAAAUAUCUAUGAAGUUUGUAUUAACUCCAUUUACACGAAACAUUUUUGUCAUUAGCUAUGGCCCUUCGAAUACACUACCCUUUGGUCCACAAAUUGCAGCAGUCAUUAGAAAAAUGCAACCAUUAGUCGGGUAUUUUUAGACAUCAAAGCCAUUGAGAUCCUCCUUUCAGGCAUUGGGUUUGCUUGCGCUUUUGUACAUCUUGUCAAUAACAUCCUGAUAGUAUUUAAGCAACUGGGGCCUCUUUUUCUUAUAUGUUGGCGUGAGGAGGUCGCGUUCUAUGUCAAAAGGCUCAGGAUCGAGGUGAACAGCUUUUACAAAUUCAAAACCUUUCAGCUUUUUCUCUUUUCCAGUCUUAGUAAGCUCCCCAAGUAUGAAUUCUUUUGCCUUCAGAUUUUCACAAUGGGAUUUGAAGUCCCCUCCCAUGCCAUUCUCUUGUGCCCAAUUUUCUAGAGCUUGCUUAUUGGGGUUAACAACAGCAACAAGGAAUGAUUCAAAGCUAUUCCCAUAAACCCAUAUCGAAUCAAUACCAGAAGCAAGACCAUAAAUAUUCUCCAAGUUUUCAACUGCAACAUAUUCUCCUUGUGAAAGUUUAAAUAUGUUUUUCUUGCGGUCAAUAAUUUUCAAGCUCCCAUCUGGUUGCCAUUCACCAAUAUCUCCUGUGUGGAACCACCCAUCAAUCAGGACCUCCUUGGUAAGGUCUUCUCGUUUGUAGUAACCCGAAAACACGGUAUUCCCCCUUACACAAAUUUCACCACGUGGUGUGCUUGAAAGAGCAUCAUAAUUCAUUUCAGGGACAGAUUCUAGACAAACAUCCACGUUUGGCACAGGAGGGCCCACCGUACCAAGCAUUGGCAUUUCAUUUGGCAGCGAGACAAAUGUGCCCGCACAGGUUUCUGUAAGACCAUAUCCUUGCAAAACAUGAGCACAUGAGACCACCCGCAGGAAAGCUUCUACAUGGAUAGCAAGAGGUGCUGCUCCAGAUAGAAUAAGCCUUACAUUUCCUCCCAAGCCUUGUUUUACCUUAUCAAAGACGAUUUUGUCACAAAGUGGAGAUGCCUUGUCAUGUGAAUGCCCCUUCUUCAUAGAAUUUAAUUUGUAAGAGUAUGCUAUAUUGAACAACGUCUGUUUUAAGAAGCCCCCUGAAGCAAUCUUCUGGGUCAAACCUGAAUAUAUUCUAUCUAAUACACGGGGCACAGCACAGAAAAUAGUUGGUUUGAGCUCCCCAAUGUCUUCAAUUAAUAAUUUGACAUCCCCUCUCCAGAACCCUAUAGAGGCACCAUGUGAAAUAAAUAGCUCUUCAAUCACUCGAUCAAAGAUAUGAGCAAGAGGAAGGUAUGAAAGAUAUACAUCCUUUGUAGUCAACUGUUCAUUUACACUCUCAAGCAGUCUUUUCACCCCAGCUAUAAUAGUAACAAUACUAUCAUUUGAAAUCAAUACUCCCUUCGGAUCACCAGUUGUCCCACUGGUAUACAUUAUUGUACAGAUAUCACUUUUCUUUUUCACUGGGAGAUCAUAAUGUUUAUCUUCACCCAGUUUUAAAAACUCCUCCCAAGAAUAUACUGCUAAACCAAACUUCUCGAUCUCUUCUCUUUGUUCAGGUGCAACAUUGCCAAAGCUCACAAUUGUUUUCAUGUACUGUGUUGAGUUUGGAAAUGUUUUCAACAGCUCAGCAAUUUUUUUUUCUUCUACAAAUGCAAUUGAGACCUCUGCAUGGCAUAUGAUAUAUUCCACAGCACCAGCUCCUAAAGUGUCAUAUAAGGGAACACAAAAAAGCCCAUGAGCAUUGCAGGCCUCCAUGCUCAUUAUCCACUCCGGGCAAUUGGCACCAUAAAUACCACAUUUCCCUCCCGGCUCAACACCACAGCUCCGAAUUGAAUUACCAACUUUGAUCACCAAGUCGUAUACUUGUUUGUAAGUUUGCCACGCGUAUUUACCAGCCAUCCCAUUCACAGUCUCUCGGCGACCAAGCAUGGGAUUGUUAGGAUAUUUCUCCACGCUUAUACGAAAAACAUCCCAGCAACUAUCCAUUCCAGGAAUCGGAGGAGGAAAUCCAUCCUUAGCGAAGACACUGCGAUAGACAGGACCAACAGAAGGCCUUCCAUCCUUGGCCUCCUUGGCUUUCUCGACCUCUAUUAGAUAAUUCCUCUGCGCCAUUUA